CAUUCCGGUGUCUGAGGCGUGGUGGAACCACAUCCAUCCCAUCCCGAAUUGGAUGGUGAAACACCAUAGCGGCGAAAAUACUUGAGGGGAAGCCCUCUGGAAAAAUAGCUAGAUGCCUGAUUG
RNAcentral lists this ribosomal RNA (123 nucleotides) under Entransia fimbriata. Lineage: Eukaryota; Viridiplantae; Streptophyta; Klebsormidiophyceae; Entransiales; Entransiaceae. The record is from RNAcentral.